GAAAAUUUAGUUAAUAAAAUAACAUUAAUCUGUCAAGUUAAAAUAAUUAAUAAUUAAUUAAUAAUUUUUA
This 70-nucleotide transfer RNA is filed under the name Vesta saturnalis. RNAcentral describes it as "tRNA-Asp". Lineage: Eukaryota; Metazoa; Arthropoda; Insecta; Coleoptera; Lampyridae. RNAcentral also lists the same sequence under 1 other name. The record is from RNAcentral.